This 479-nucleotide ribosomal RNA is filed under the name uncultured bacterium. RNAcentral describes it as "partial 16S ribosomal RNA". It matches the Rfam family "Bacterial small subunit ribosomal RNA", at positions 28 to 507 of the family's 1533-position model. The record is from RNAcentral.
GAUGAACGCUAGCGGGAGGCCUAACACAUGCAAGCCGAGCGGUAGAGAUUCUUCGGAAUCUUGAGAGCGGCGUACGGGUGCGGAACACGUGUGCAACCUGCCUUUAUCAGGGGGAUAGCCUUUCGAAAGGAAGAUUAAUACCCCAUAAUAUAUUUGAUGGCAUCAUUAGAUAUUGAAAGCUUUGGCGGAUAGAGAUGGGCACGCGCAAGAUUAGACAGUUGGUGAGGUAACGGCUCACCAAGUCGAUGAUCUUUAGGGGGCCUGAGAGGGUGAUCCCCCACACUGGUACUGAGACACGGACCAGACUCCUACGGGAGGCAGCAGUGAGGAAUAUUGGACAAUGGGUUAGCGCCUGAUCCAGCCAUCCCGCGUGAAGGACGACGGCCCUAUGGGUUGUAAACUUCUUUUGUACAGGGAUAAACCUACUCUCGUGAGAGUAGCUGAAGGUACUGUACGAAUAAGCACCGGCUAACUCCGUG